RNAcentral lists this long non-coding RNA (4250 nucleotides) under Citrus x clementina. Its description in RNAcentral is "Citrus clementina (C. clementina) long non-coding RNA (CCLE_LNC002717)". Lineage: Eukaryota; Viridiplantae; Streptophyta; Magnoliopsida; Sapindales; Rutaceae. The record is from RNAcentral.
CCCCCCCCCCCCCCCCCCAAUGUUAUUUUAUCCCUAGGAUCUCCAUACAUCACCUUUCCCCGAAGAUCCUAAGGAUCUUCAUGUUACAUUUUCCUAGGGAUCCAUGAAAAGGAUUUCCCUUUUAUGUCACCUUUCCUCAAAGAUCCUAACAAGGGAUCUCGAAAUGUCACUUUUUUUCCGAGGGAUCCUCAAUGUAGCUUUUUUUUAGGGAAUCUACACAAAGGGUCCUUCAAGAGCACCGUAUUUUCCAUGGGAUUUCCUAACGCCACAUUUUUCCUGAGGAUCCCAAAGGACCCUCAACAGCACUUUUUCUUAAGAAUCUGUGAAAAGAUCUUCCAAAUAUCGUCUUUUUCUUGGGAUCCAUGAAAGAGACCCCUCUACAACACCCUUUCUCAAGGAUCCUCCUAAUGUUACAUUUUCUUGGGAUUUAAGAUUCACCUAACAUCACCAUUUUAUAGGGAUCCCUUCUAUGCCACCUUUCCUUGAGGGUCCACGUAAAAGAUCCUUCCAACGCAGCCAUUUUUAGGGAAACCUCGCAAGAGAUCCUCUCUAACGUCACCUAUCUCUUGAAGGAAGUAAGGGCACUAAUAAAGGAAAUUUGGGGGCUAUUGUUGGUGGAUAAAUUUGGUUAGGACAAUUUAAAAGUGCCAUGUGGACUAACAGACAGAAAAUAAAAGGACAACACUUGUUCUCAAAUAGAAUAUUAUUUUUUGCCUCAUUCUUCACUAAAGAAGACUAGUAGGUAUUGUUAAUGGUUAAAUUUAGGCUAAUGAUGGAAGAAUACAUGUCAAUGAUGAAAAAGAUAUCUAAAGGAAGCAUCAAGUAGGUAGAAUCCUUGGGCUGCAAAAAGGUCUUCGAGAUCCACAAAUGAUCCUUAGAAAGAAACUCAAUCUGAGGACUGAAAAUAAGUUAUAAAGGGAAUAAAACAAAACGAGGAACAUCGAAGUAUGCCUAGGAUACUCUUUUUGGUUCAGAAGUUGCUUCCUAGUUUACUAAGGUCAACUUCUUUUAAUCAACUACUAAGACACUAAAGGACAUGAUAAAGUCCUUAAUAAGGAUCAUCCAAGUUAAAGUAACCUUAAGAAUCAUUAAUAUGCGAUCACUAACUGAGAAGGAGGGAAUACAGACCUUAUCUUGUGGUUUAAGCUUAUCCCAACACUCUCCAGUUGUUAUUGUACGAAAUAAUAGUCCGUAGGGGAUAAAUAGGCGUGUUGCCAUCAAAAAAAUCACAAGGUGCCUGACUCUCCUCCUAAAUGUCAAGAUAGACCAGAACGUGCCAUCUAGAUAGGAAGUACAUAAUUAUUAUGCAAAAAAAAAAGAUACUUUAAUGAAAAAUUGCCACAUGUCAUACAAGAAAAUUUCAAAGGGCUUUGAAUAUUUAAACUUUAAUUAAAAUUACACAAAUGCCCCUACAUAAGGAGGGCCACCACCAAUCAGGUUCUAUCAUUGAGAGACGUAAGGGUGCCCUCAGUAGCGCUAUUAUACAAACUAAGCUUAAACCUAACUAAAAGGUCUGGCAAACUUCUUCCCUUUUAAAUCUCUCUCUAUCUAGUUUAUAUUCUUCAUUCUCUAAAAAAUAAAGGUCAUUUACCUCUCUCACUUUUCCAAAAGCUCAUUAUCUAUUUCAAACUUAGAGCUAUUGCGACUUUAUAUUAUACACCAUAUGGAUCCCCAUCUCUAUUAUUCAUCUCUCCACAAAGAGAUUGUCUUCCUCACCUUGCAUUUGAAUCUUCAUCUUUUUAAGAGGCAACCACUACUCAUCAGCUUCUCCAUGGCAAAUAUAAUCAAACUAGCCACAUAUUAUCCUCCACACGUAAGAACUCCUCAUAAGUAUCAAGGAGAACGAAUCAAAAGUUUCUCUCAAGGAACCAAAGAAGAAGAAUAAGCACUAGAAACAUUUUUUAUGUUCUUUAUCGCUUUUCAUGUAAUGGACCCAUGUAAUAAUAUAUUUUACGCAUUGGAUGUGUAGUUGAGACGCUCCCCAUAGACAUAGGCCAUAGGCCGAACCAAGUAAAUCUUAUGUGUUCUUUAUAUUUACCCUUUGUGUAUGUUUUGUGCUCCUUCAAAAGUAUCCUUAGAGCUUCCUGAGGCUGCUGCGAGCUCCAUGAGGACUCCGUGAGCCUAUUAAAAGAUCCUUGGUCUCCCUGAGCCCCUCAAAGUCUUUCAAGCUUCCUUACCACACUUAACCUAUUCGGGGACUUAACCUAUUCGGGGCACCCUGACACCAUCCUUGAAUCAAACAAAUCUCUAUUGUCUUUCAGCCCGCACCACUAGGAAGAGCGAAUAAUUGGUCGAAACAAUAUUGUUUAUUAUUUAUAGAUUUAUGGACUCAAGAUUGUUGUUGUAGUACUAGUAUAUUACUAUUAUAUUGUUUUUCACUGAAUAAACAAAGUAAAAUUGCUUGAACUAAAUCAAUCUAAACUAUAAAACAAACCAAAUAAAACUGAAUUAAUUUGGUUUGUUCCGUUUGAUUUUAGUAUUUGGUUUGUAUUUUGUUCAAAAAAUUAUGAAAACAACAAGGAAUAAGAUAAGUAGAAGACAGUGAUUUCAGUUGACAAUAUCUCCCAUUUUUGAAAAAAAAAAGUCUUUUAUAUCACAAAUGAGUGAAUAAAUGCAAUUUUAUUAAUAAACAAUUUUAUUAAAAGUGGGACAAGGAAAAAUUUAUGGGUUCAAAUUGCCUCACUUUUAAGUAACUUUCAUAUCGAAAAUAGUCACAAAUAUGAAAAAAAAAAUUAUGAGAAUAACUUAAUUACAAAACAUCCUUGAAUCAAACAAAUCUCUAUUGUCUUUCAGCCCGCACCACUAGGAAGAGCGAAUAAUUGGUCGAAACAAUAUUGUUUAUUAUUUAUAGAUUUAUGGACUCAAGAUUGUUGUUGUAGUACUAGUAUAUUACUAUUAUAUUGUUUUUCACUGAAUAAACAAAGUAAAAUUGCUUGAACUAAAUCAAUCUAAACUAUAAAACGAACCAAAUUAAACUGAAUUAAUUUGGUUUGUUCCGUUUGAUUUUAGUGUUUGGUUUGUAUUUUUUUCAUAAAAUUAUGAAAACAACAAUAAAUAAAAUAAAUAGAAGAUAUAGUGAUUUCAACUAACAAUUUCUCCCAUUUGUGAAAAAAAAAAGAAAAUCAUUUGUAUAACAUGUCAGUGAAUAAGUGCAAUUUUAGUAAUAAAGAAUUUUAUUAAAAGUGGGACAAGGAAAAUUUUAUGGGUUCAAAUUGCCUCACUUUUAAGUAACUUUCAUAUAAAAAAUAAUCACAAAUAGAAAAAAAAAGUAUGAGAAUAACUUAAUUACAAAAAAAAAAUUGUGGGAUAGACCCCGUCUUUCAAUCUAAGUGAUAGAACUAUUGCGGGCGGCUCAAAUUUGGCACCAAUGGAGGUUAAAUUAGCAUGCAUGGUUUGCUCAGUAAAAGUCCGCCCAAAGGCGGGAUGCAGUAGCGUGGUGCGUUCAGCAGUGGGCCGCCUCGUACAAUUAGUGAACCGUGGUGUGCUUAGCAAAUGGAUAGUCCAAAUUAAAGCAAUCUCAACCCGAUUCUAGAAAUCUCUACAACUCACUAGCACACGUAAAUAUCUAGAUAAUUCUAUACGUAUGUAUUCUUGAACCUAGUGGAUAUUUAGGCAACUUGUGCGGAAAACUAUAGACCUAAGCAAGCCCCUCUAUAAAUAAGGGAAGGCACCCGGCACUUUGCUCAACACCACACCAUCCACCUAGUGACUCAUGCAUACUUUGUAAAGCUUUCUUGUAUUCUUUUUUGCGAAUAAUAGAAUUCUCUUUGACUAUUUUACUCUCUCUUCUCUUUAAUUUUCUUGCAAGUAUCUUUACUUGGCUAAUUUGGGAAGUUUGAUAGGCUUACUUAACAAUUUUUGUACUAAAGUUGUCUAAAUAUUGCACGGGCUGCUUAGUAAUAAACUCAUGCCGUGACACAAUACUCUUCUAACAAGAAGUGUAUAAUUGGCAGAGCUAGCUAAUUUUGACACAACAAGACGAUCUAAUACGAACAUGACAUUAAUAAAUAAAUGAGUUUGGAGUCAUCAAAUUUAACAUGAUUAUUAAAUGAGCUUAGUUCAAGCCUAUAUAAUUUUUUUUCAUAUUGAGUUAGGGUUCAAGUUUUUAACUCAUUUACAUGAUUAAUGAUAUGAUUAUUAAAUACAUAAUUGAUAGGAAAAAUGACUCAUUAAGAUAUGACCCUUUUGGCAUCUAAAAAGAAUUUCUAAGAAUACUUUUAGAAUUAAGUUAUAUAAAAUUUUGAAAAAAA